CGAACGGGUGAGUAACACGUGAGUAAUCUGCCCUUGGGUCCGGGAUAACACUUCGAAAGGGGUGCUAAUACCGGAUAAGACCACGGGGUCGCAUGGCCCAGAGGGAAAAGAUGGCCUCUCCUUGGAAGCUGUCGCCUGUGGAUGAGCUCGCGGACCAUUAGCUUGUUGGUGGGGUAAAGGCCCACCAAGGCUACGAUGGUUAGCCGACCUGAGAGGGUGAUCGGCCACACUGGAACUGAGACACGGUCCAGACUCCUACGGGAGGCAGCAGUGGGGAAUAUUGCGCAAUGGGGGAAACCCUGACGCAGCAACGCCGCGUGCGCGAUGAAGGCCUUCGGGUUGUAAAGCGCUGUCAGGAGGGACGAAAAGGCCCGAUUGAAUAGGUCGGGUUCUUGACGGU
This 400-nucleotide ribosomal RNA is filed under the name uncultured bacterium. Its description in RNAcentral is "bacterial SSU rRNA". It matches the Rfam family "Bacterial small subunit ribosomal RNA", at positions 99 to 476 of the family's 1533-position model. The record is from RNAcentral.